Molecule: ribosomal RNA, 231 nt
Filed under: uncultured bacterium
Lineage: Bacteria
Description: partial 16S ribosomal RNA
Rfam family: Bacterial small subunit ribosomal RNA
Source: RNAcentral
UGAGGAACAUGACCUUCGGCGGGGGAUAGCCGGCCCAACGGCCGGGUAAUACCGCGUACGACCACAUGGGGACAUCCCUGAGUGGUGAAAGCAGCAAUGCGCCGAUGGAGUGCCUCGCGGCCUAUCAGCUAGUUGAUGAGGUAACGGCUCACCAAGGCAACGACGGGUAGCUGGUCUGAGAGGAUGGCCAGCCACAUUGGGACUGAGACACGGCCCAGAUCCCGUACGGGG